Molecule: long non-coding RNA, 878 nt
Filed under: Rattus norvegicus (Norway rat)
Lineage: Eukaryota; Metazoa; Chordata; Mammalia; Rodentia; Muridae
Description: long non-coding RNA NONRATT020192
Source: RNAcentral
GUCCUCAGGUAGAACUAUUUCCAAUUUUCUGAGGAACUUCCAGUCUGAUUUCCAGAUCUUAAGUGUCUCACUUCAUGAAGUUUUGUGAUUAUGCAUGCCAGUGUAACUACACUCUGACCAUUAGAAAAUUUCCAUAGAAUAUUCUUUUUCCCUCUUUUUCAGUCAAUUUCCUUUUCUUCUGAAUUCUAUUUUUAGAUUACUUUUCUGUGUGAUUACAUGUGUGCAGAACCACUCUACAUUUACUUAUAUAUGUGCCUAAUUUUUUAAACUAUGGGUAGAUUUGAAGUCACUCAUGUUUUACAGUGCCAUUCCUAAGUAUUCUGAAACAUAUGCAUGUUAUUAAGAUAUUGAAACGUAACCAUUUUCCUGGCACACACACUAUUUUUAAGGAGGGAAUUCUCAACUUGUUUUUGUUGUUGUUGAUUAACUUAGGUGGAUUUAACUUAUUUUAAAAAAGAAAAUGUAUUUUAAAUUCUUUCAAAUGUAUUUAUGCAUUAAUGCUUUUGGAAGUCCCAGGCUUGAUGUGACUAUUUUUAUUCAUGUCAUACUUGUUAAGUAAGUCAGAAGUUCCAGUGAAACUUACAUGGAGCAACUGGAGGCAAUGACAAUGACUAGAUAGACUUGUUCUCUAAGUAGUCUUUAGAUUGAAGCAUUGAUGAUAUAGUGAGCUCUGUAUUCAAUGGAGAUAGCGUUAUUUUUUUAUUUACACUAAUGUAGAAUGCUCGAAGAUGGGCAAAAUUAGUGGUUUCUGUGGGACUAUUUUAGUACUUUGAUCGCAUACACGUAUUCAUUAAAAAUUUACAUUGGUCAUGCUAUUCCUUACAGUGUAGAUUGAAAUGAAGCACGUUAAUUAAAUUAAAAAAAAUGGUGGCAUUAGC